RNAcentral lists this long non-coding RNA (205 nucleotides) under Lathyrus oleraceus (garden pea). RNAcentral describes it as "Pisum sativum (pea) long non-coding RNA (PSAT_LNC008273)". The record is from RNAcentral. Lineage: Eukaryota; Viridiplantae; Streptophyta; Magnoliopsida; Fabales; Fabaceae.
UUUCUAUUACUCGAAUUCUGUUAGUUCAAGGGACUUGAGAAGUUAGUUAUGUGAGAUUCAAAAUUGUUACUUGUGUCUACUAUCAAGUUUUGUUAGUAGUUAGGUUGGUUAUGAUUUUUUGUUACAGUUCAAUUAUUUCUGUUAGUUAAGACUGUUAUAUUGUUGAGUGAAUGUGUUGAUGAACUGUGUUCCAACUUCUGUUAGA